RNAcentral lists this long non-coding RNA (244 nucleotides) under Selaginella moellendorffii. RNAcentral's name for it is "long non-coding RNA (SMOE_LNC002423)". Lineage: Eukaryota; Viridiplantae; Streptophyta; Lycopodiopsida; Selaginellales; Selaginellaceae. The record is from RNAcentral.
UUUUUUCUUUCCAGGACUGUGGCAACUGCGAAGGGGUCUCUUGCUGGAUCCCAGUCUCGGGGGUGGCACUAUCUCAUUUGUCCGGGAAUUCAAGGUUUACCAAGUUUGCAUCACUCUUUUACUCAUUACUCUUUGCAAUCCCACUAUCGCCACUCUGAUCUACUCAACCACAUUCCACAGUCACAUACUGUUGCCUAUCUUUUGCUACAUUUGCCCGCUUCACAUUUUUAGCUAUAUCUUGCCA